CCCUUAGAUGUUCUGGGCUGCACGCGCGCUACACUGACACACUCAGCGAGUCACCUGAUCUGAGAAGACCGGGCAAUCAUGUGAGCGUGUGUCGUGAUGGGGAUAGAAUAUUGUAAUUAUUACUCUUCAACGAGGAAUUCCUAGUAAGCGCGAGUCAGCAGCUCGCGCUGAUUACGUCCCUGCCCUUUGUACACACCGCCCGUCGCUCCUACCGAGGGGGUGAUCCGGUGAAUGAUUCGGACUUUGGCAUUGCUAUGUUUCAUAGCAUUGCUGGGGGAAGUCUUGUGAACCUUAUCACUUGGAGGAAGGAGAAGUCGUAACA
RNAcentral lists this ribosomal RNA (322 nucleotides) under uncultured eukaryote. Its description in RNAcentral is "partial 18S ribosomal RNA". It matches the Rfam family "Eukaryotic small subunit ribosomal RNA", at positions 1470 to 1796 of the family's 1831-position model. The record is from RNAcentral.